UUUUUUUUUUUAAUUAUUAUUUGGUUUGAGAUCUUCCCAGUUGUUGGCAUGACAAGUGAUUUUUAAUAAAACCUGGGCAUUUGGGGUAUUGUGAGACUCUAGAUCUUAUUUAAACCUUCUGUUUUAGCUGCCUUCCUCUGAAACCACUCUGACAGGCGAAGAGGGAGACUGUGUCAUCAUUGCCAGGUUGGAGUAGAAUGUAGUUCCUCCCACACCUCCACGGACACCUGAGAGAGGGGUUCCUCCUGGCUGCUGGGCAGGGAGUAGUUUUGGAUCUCCACUGGGCCCCUGCUGACACCUCCCUGGCUGGGAGGAGUAGUGUUACUGCUUCCUACGCAGUCUCCACUGACACCACCCCAGUGAUUGGAAGGGGUGGAAAUCCAGACUCCUCUUGUGGUUUCCACUUUUACAUAGAGGUGGAGGUGGCAGGUUUUGUAACCACGCAGCAGAGAUCAAAGUCUUGGCUCCUACUACUCAGCAUUCUGUGACACUGCCCAGUGGAGGGGGCUCAGGUGCCUCCUCGGAACCUGACAAGAGUGGAAAUCUCAGCUUUCCAAACAGCCUUUGCUGGCAGGGUGGGGCCACAGUUUGUUUGUGUGUGUGUGUGUGUGUGUGUGUGUGUGUCUGUGUGUGUGUGAGAGAGAGAGAGAGAGAGAAAGAGAGAAAGAUUGAGAGAGAGAAUGGAAGAUGUUUGGCUAGAGCACAGUAGUUGUCUAAAAGCUUUCGGUGGGGUGUCCCUCUUUGGUCCCUUGGCUAGAAAGGACAGGCUUUCGUUGUUGUUCAUGUUUUUUCUGUUCCCAUUGGUGUUUCUUGAUUGCUGGUUUUUCUAACUCCAAAUCUGGAAUAUAUGAGGCAAAAAGAAAACCCACAUAACUAAUCACUGGGUCAUUCCUUGGGUCUUGAGGUCCACUGAGGUUCUGCUGCUUCUCUCCACCUUCAUAUCUUCUUAAUGUUUGUUUUACGUGGAUGUCCAGGGUUUUUAGGUGUAUGUUGUGGGAAUAACAGGUAAAAAAGCAUGUUCACUCCAUCUUCUCAGAAACAGAAAUAGUCCUUCCUUUCAUUUUGAGGUUAAAAUGAGAAACCUUAUCAAGUAAGGAAAUUACAUUUACUAUGUUGAAAAAGCUACAUCAAGUAGUAGCAGAAGUUUACAUGAAAUCAAUUUGGAAUACUUAUCAAAAAACCUUAAGAAAAACUUUAAAAUUGUGCCAUGGCAUUUAACGAAGGAGAGAACCAAUUUACAAAGAAUAUGUUUCAAAUGCUCUCCAAAAAUACCCAAAUUCUAUGGUUAACUUUUUAUUUCAAGAUAUUUCAAAAAAAAAAAAAGGACUUUAUCUCUGUGGCUAAUGUUUUGCAAUUGAUUAUGUAAAAAAUAUUGAGGUUUUUAGCUUUUUUCCCCCUACUUUGAUCAUUAUUUGAAGGUGCCUUUCUUUCCUAAGCUGUCCGCAAGAAAUAGCUGCAUAGGUCUUAUGUAUGAUUAUAUUUAUACUACCUGAAAGCUCUUCUCCCAAACAACCUCUUUAGUCACUUUAAGAGAACCAGAUGUAUGAUAAAGGAUGGCAGUCAUCAUUAAAGAGCAGACAGGGUCCUAACAUUACAUCUAUUUCCUUUAAUCAACCUUUUAUCUUAGAUGAAAUGGGGAGAGUGGCAAAAAACACUGCUCAAAGUAAAUAAAAGUCUGUCUAAAAUAUAUUGAGAUGAAGUCUGUUUUUGACAGAAAUUCUUUUUUACAGUUCAAUAUAAAAGGUUACUCUAAAGAAAUUUAAUUAAGAAAGUGUCAGAAUCAAAUAAGAUGUAGAAAGUCUCAAGAAAUGUGUAAAUUAGAAUAACCUUCAAAUUGAUAAAGCACUUUAAACAAUCUAAGAGCAGCUCUGAGUUAAGACAGCUGGGCAUUUGCUUGGAAUAAUCCUGGAAAAAUCAGGGUUUGGAUUUUGUGCUCCACUUGCCAAUUAGAAGCAAAUGGCGAUUCCUUAGGGUAGUCUCUAAAUUCAUCACGUUAUUACUUCACAUAGCCUUUCUCUUCCUUGGAUGAACAGAAGGAAACUGCAUGGUACAGCACUCAAUGAAAUGUAAAAUAAGGAUUAACAAGCCAUUUUGGAGAUUUCGCAAAAUUAAGCUUCAUCAACCAGCUUGACUCACGGCCAAUCUGGCAAAAAGCAUCCUAGAAAGAAAACUAACAGUCAAGUGACAUGUAGCACAAAAAAUUUAAAUAACUCCCAGAAGCAUUAAAAUCAUGAAAAGGUGCAUUGUGUUCUGUGAUCAACCAAGUCCA
This 2269-nucleotide long non-coding RNA is filed under the name Canis lupus familiaris (dog). RNAcentral's name for it is "lncRNA (ENSCAFG00000056475.1)". The record is from RNAcentral. Lineage: Eukaryota; Metazoa; Chordata; Mammalia; Carnivora; Canidae.